RNAcentral lists this ribosomal RNA (557 nucleotides) under Staphylococcus sp. MF18_Po. Its description in RNAcentral is "bacterial SSU rRNA". It matches the Rfam family "Bacterial small subunit ribosomal RNA", at positions 317 to 873 of the family's 1533-position model. Lineage: Bacteria; Bacillati; Bacillota; Bacilli; Caryophanales; Staphylococcaceae. The record is from RNAcentral.
GAUUGAGACAGGGCCCAGUUCGUAUGUGAGGCAGCAGUGGGGAAUAUUGCACAAUGGGCGAAAGCUGAAUGCAGCGAGCCUUCGUGAGGGAUGACGGCCUUCGGGUUGUAAACCUCUUUCAGCAGGGACGAAGCGCAAGUGACGGUACCUGCAGAAGAAGCCCCGGCUAACUACGUGCCAGCAGCCGCGGUAAUACGUAGGGGGCAAGCGUUGUCCGGAAUUAUUGGGCGUAAAGAGUUCGUAGGCGGUUUGUUGAGUCGUUUGUGAAAACCAGCAGGCUCAACCGUGAGGGCCGUUGGAUACGGGGAAAACUUGAGUACUGCAGGGGAGAGUGGAAUUCCAUGUGUAGCGGUGAAAUGCGCAGAGAUAUGGAGGAACACCAGUGGCGAAGGCGACUUUCUGGUCUGUAACUGACGCUGAUGUGCGAAAGCGUGGGGAUCAAACAGGAUUAGAUACCCUGGUAGUCCACGCCGUAAACGAUGAGUGCUAAGUGUUAGGGGGUUUCCGCCCCUUAGUGCUGCAGCUAACGCAUUAAGCACUCCGCCNGGGANNNGNNC